RNAcentral lists this long non-coding RNA (228 nucleotides) under Mustela putorius furo (domestic ferret). Its description in RNAcentral is "lncRNA (ENSMPUG00000030518.1)". Lineage: Eukaryota; Metazoa; Chordata; Mammalia; Carnivora; Mustelidae. The record is from RNAcentral.
UUACAAAGCAGCAUAUGGACACAUGCCCAGAGUGUGCUUGAUACAUGGGGGUGCCAGGGCAUCUCUGUGUCCUAUAAAUGUUUAAGAAUCAGAGACAGGGCUGGCAGGAAGCCAGGUUGAGCCACCUUUACCUUCUGAAUCUUCUAAGAGGAGCUCCUGAGAUCCGUUCCAAGAUGGCUGGCCACAGACCUGCUUGCCUUGCCUCUACUGGCCUCAGCAAACAUUUGC